UAGAAAAAUAAAAUGUCUCUAUUGUUGUUUUGUUUAUUCAAGAAAAGAACCACAAUAUAUAUAUAUAUUACAACAUUAAACUUGAUGGACCGAGAUUGGCCAAAGUCAAUCUCAAUCGUAUUUGUUUAAUCGAAAUCAAAUGAUUUAGAUUUUAAAAUACAAAACACUAGUUAGGUUUAAAAUCAGAAUCAUCCGAUCUCAAUUCAAAGAACACGCUUUAAUCUUUGGUAUGGAGGAAAUCUGAUUUGAACCUUGACCACAAUAGUUGUAGCCAAUGCCACGACCCUUGGUAAGGCAAACAUUGUAGUUAAAUAUGACAGGAGGGUAAUUAUAGUCAUAUACAACGACAGUCUCUGGUUUCCAACCAUCUCUUCCUUUCCUAAAUAAGUACAGUUCACAUAUCUGGCUGGUACAUUCUCCCAUUACAUCAAAUGAAACUGUGGUGCACCUCUUGAAUGCACCAGGGUCAUCCAAUCUUUUAACAUAAAGCUGCAAUUAUACAUCAAACCAGUACAUUACAUAAUUUCAUUAAAAAAAAAAUAAUUCAUAUAAACUAUUAAUUGUUCAUAUAAGUUGUCCUAGAGAGUUUAAGCUACAAAUUGUUUUUGGACAUGUCAGAAGAAAAUAAUACAUAACUAGUUAAGUAAAGUAUUUUUACUAAAAUCAUUCAAGUAUUUUAAAAUUGUGAAUGAGUACAUAAAAGAACCUUAGAGCCAAGAUCAUCUCCAAAUAAAAGACUGAUUUGAUCUGUUGUAUAUGCUGGAGAAUUGCAGCUUGUCUUUAUGGUGAUUAGGUAUUUGCACAUACUACUAAUCAGUCUAGUCUCAUUAAUCUGAAAAAUGCAUAUUGUCUCUUAUUCAAGAUACAAUAAAAUAUGAAAUUAUUUAAGAUACACAUUGAUUUGUAAACUAGUGACUAAACUUUUUAGGGCAAAAGGGACAAUAAUGAAAAGCUUUUUUUUGGUGUUGAAAAAAAAAAUGAAAAGAUAUAUACUGAAUAAAUAUGUUAUUAUGAAUGAUUUUUAAUUAAAGGGUAUUCCCUAGUUCGGAUAAAUGCUUAAAAAAAUAAAAAAAAAAUAACGAGAAGCUAAGUGAUAAAAUUGAUAUACUUGUUGAAGGGUAUGACUUAUUAGUGUAGAAGAUUGAUUCAUUUGAUCAGGUUGAGGAAGAGUGACCAAUGUUGGUGCUGCAUGUGAGAAGGCAACAAUGAUGGAGAAUGUGAAGAUUAAGGUAAGAGUUUUCAUAGUUUAUUAUGUGGUUGCCUAAAUUGAUUUUUAUUUUUAUUGUAUAACCUUUUUUUUUGUGAUUCAAGAGAAAAGAAGGAGGAACACCUAUAGCAUUAGAAAGGCCAGGACAAUAUU
This 1360-nucleotide long non-coding RNA is filed under the name Medicago truncatula (barrel medic). RNAcentral's name for it is "lncRNA gene12829". The record is from RNAcentral. Lineage: Eukaryota; Viridiplantae; Streptophyta; Magnoliopsida; Fabales; Fabaceae.